RNAcentral lists this ribosomal RNA (253 nucleotides) under uncultured bacterium. RNAcentral describes it as "partial 16S ribosomal RNA". It matches the Rfam family "Bacterial small subunit ribosomal RNA", at positions 524 to 776 of the family's 1533-position model. The record is from RNAcentral.
UACGAAGGGGGCUAGCGUUGCUCGGAAUCACUGGGCGUAAAGCGCACGUAGGCGGCUUUCUAAGUCAGGGGUGAAAUCCUGGAGCUCAACUCCAGAACUGCCUUUGAUACUGGAGAGCUUGAGUCCGGAAGAGGUGAGUGGAACUCCGAGUGUAGAGGUGAAAUUCGUAGAUAUUCGGAAGAACACCAGUGGCGAAGGCGGUUCUCUGGGCCUUACCUGACGCUGAGGAGCGAAAGCGUGGGGAGCAAACAGG